RNAcentral lists this ribosomal RNA (118 nucleotides) under Cephalotus follicularis. Lineage: Eukaryota; Viridiplantae; Streptophyta; Magnoliopsida; Oxalidales; Cephalotaceae. The record is from RNAcentral.
AGGUGCGAUCAUACCAGCAUUAAUGCACCGGAUUCCAUCGGAACUCCGAAGUUAAGCGUGCUUGGACAAGAAUAGUACUAAGAUGGGCUUUGUCACAGAAAUUCUACAGGCACAGUUA